RNAcentral lists this ribosomal RNA (498 nucleotides) under uncultured bacterium. RNAcentral's name for it is "bacterial SSU rRNA". It matches the Rfam family "Bacterial small subunit ribosomal RNA", at positions 30 to 518 of the family's 1533-position model. The record is from RNAcentral.
AUUGAACGCUGGCGGCAUGCCUUACACAUGCAAGUCGAACGGUAACAGGUCUUCGGAUGCUGACGAGUGGCGAACGGGGUGAGUAAUACAUCGGAACGUGCCCGAUCGUGGGGGAUAACGGAGCGAAAGCUUUGCUAAUACCGCAUACGAUCCUACGGAUGAAAGCAGGGGACCGCAAGGGCCUUGCGCGGACGGAGCGGCCGAUGGCAGAUUAGGUAGUUGGUGGGAUAAAAGCUUACCAAGCCGACGAUCUGUAGCUGGUCUGAGAGGACGACCAGCCACACUGGGACUGAGACACGGCCCAGACUCCUACGGGAGGCAGCAGUGGGGAAUUUUGGACAAUGGGCGCAAGCCUGAUCCAGCCAUGCCGCGUGCAGGAUGAAGGCCUUCGGGUUGUAAACUGCUUUUGUACGGUAACGAAAAGGCUCUCUCUAAUACAGGGGUGAAGUGACGGUACCGUAAGAAUAAGCACCGGCUAACUACGUGCCAGCAGCCGAC